CCUACGGGAGGCAGCAGUGAGGAAUAUUGGUCAAUGGGCGCGAGCCUGAACCAGCCAAGUCGCGUGAGGGAUGAAGGUUCUAUGGAUCGUAAACCUCUUUUAUAAGGGAAUAAAGUGUGGGACGUGUCCUCUUUUGUAUGUACCUUAUGAAUAAGGAUCGGCUAACUCCGUGCCAGCAGCCGCAGUAAUACGGAGGAUCCUAGCGUUAUCCGGAUUUAUUGGGUUUAAGGGGUGCGUAGGCGGCCUUUUAAGUCAGCGGUGAAAGUCUGUGGCUCAACCAUAGAAUUGCCGUUGAAACUGGGGGUCUUGAGUAUGUUUGAGGCAGGCGGAAUGCGUGGUGUAGCGGUGAAAUGCUUAGAUAUCACGAAGAACCCCGAUUGCGAAGGCAACCUGCCAAGCCAUGACUGACGCUGAUGCACGAAAGCGUGGGGAUCAAACAGGAUUAGAUACCCCGGUAGUC
RNAcentral lists this ribosomal RNA (460 nucleotides) under uncultured bacterium. RNAcentral's name for it is "partial 16S ribosomal RNA". It matches the Rfam family "Bacterial small subunit ribosomal RNA", at positions 338 to 795 of the family's 1533-position model. The record is from RNAcentral.